Non-coding RNA from Manis javanica (Malayan pangolin), 1078 nucleotides. The record is from RefSeq and is a predicted model, not a curated record. Lineage: Eukaryota; Metazoa; Chordata; Mammalia; Pholidota; Manidae.
UCCCCAAGCUGGACUGACAAAAGGAGAUGUGGACAGUAGGCAACAAGAACUGCAGCACCAUCACACCGCAGCAGGCUGAUGAAAGCAAGGCGGCUCUGUCAGCUCAGCUGAGGACUUAAGUCCAGAUACCCAGGCUGAAUUCCCUGCAGCUGGGGCAGAGCCCCUUUCCAGGUAAGCCGUAGGAGAAGCCCUUCCAAUUUCAUUUCAGCCCAACUCUGUUCUCGGUUGCCUUUCUAAAGGCCACAUGGGGGAAGAACACACACAGAAAGAGCACUCCUUCCUGUACACGCAUCUCAGGUUUCAGCUCUUGGUGCUGGACAAACAUGCUCUCAAGUGUUUUCUGGACACAGGGGUCAAGACAACAGAGGCAGGCAAGAUACACCAGCCACACUGAUGAGCGUGCGCUCUUGGUGAGGCCAACCAUUCAGCCCCAUGACGAAAACAGGCUCUUCUGUCUGGCCCUGAGUGAGCCAGGCGGAGGGCGCAGACGCAGACCUCAGUCCCGCGGGGUCUGCCCUCCCUCCAAAGGCCGGCAAAACAACGCCCCAGAGGGAAAGGUUUCCAGACCUGAGGGGCAAUGAGCAGGAGCUGGCAAGUGGAUGUGUUCACUUUGUGAGAACUCCUUCAGCGUUACAUUCAGGAGUGUAGGAAUAUUCUAUUUUCUAAAUGCACACCUCAUUUUCUUCAUGCAACAUCCUUAUAAAAGGAUUGGUAAGACCAUUUUACUAGCCGUAGGAUGGAAGAAAAAUGUGAAGCAAUUCUCAAAGUGCCGUAUAACAAAUUUGGGUAGUCUGGCGUUUAAGGACAAAUCUGAUCUCAAGACUGCUAGCCCUCACUGCCUACUGCUAAUCGAUUCCUACGAGAAGCAGAUGCUCUGAUUGAGAAAACCAAACGCACAUCAUGAGGCAAGGAAUCAAAACAGUUCUCUGAAACACAGCAUACAAAGGAAGUGGGUAACAAGUCCAAAUGGUGACAUUUAACAACCUUUAAGUGGUCAGGCACUUGGCCAUCUUCAGACCUUGUACAAGUAAGGAAUUGGCUCUACCACAAACAGAAAAAGCUUCAGCUUUUGUUUAUG